UCUACCUAGCGUUAUCCCGGCCUUUGCCAGGGUCCGCUUUCCUACUUGCUUUCCUCCACUUUGCGCGAUCCUGGGCAUCAUCUCGUGUGAGCCCGUUCACGCUCAUAUCUGCUUUCACGACAUCGAGCCAUCGCUUUUUUGGUCUGCCUUGGAGUCGGGGGCCGUCAAGGGCUAGGUUAAGACAAUAUGAUUACUACAUGUUAAAAAAUGUAAUCUUACAGCUCGUAAGUUGCGUUGAGGAAUACUAAAGUUAGAGACAAAAUAAUAUUCAAGUUCUUGAACUUCGUCAAAACGAAUUAUACUUUCAACAUGGAGGAUGGAGGUACUAUAGGCAGUUAGGCAAUUUUUUGGUCAUGUCGCGUUACAUGAUUAUACAUUAUACUACAGAAUAGUUCACAGAAGAGAUUGGUUUUACAAGUUUACUGUAACUAUAAAUUACAACGCUACCUAAUCCUGCUACUGUAUAGUGCUAAAAGAAACAGCACAUACAUGAUAUACCUACUACAUAUGUUAUUGUUUUUGUCUAUUUUCAACCACAGAACGUUACGUACGAUCAAUGAUCAUACAUUUACUUUUGCAAGUAAUCAUCAAUCAUAAUGAAAAACAAAAUAAAUCAUCACAAUUUUGAAGAACACACCAACUGGGAAAUUGUUAAUUACAACUUACAAGUAUGUCACCGGAAACAAAAUACCAGUGUUGUAAUAUAGUGUGACGAGAGUCCGAGAAUAUUAAAAAAUAUGAAGGCGACAGUCAAUUAGAGUUGAAACAGGUGGGUCGGGCCGUGCCAAGUCACUGGCCCAAUAUUACAGGGUUCUAUGUUACAUUUUUAAGACAGUUGAAAUUCGACUUAAUGUCACUAUGACAAUGUUCAAAUUUCAGUUCGAUAAAAGUGAAACAUAGAACCCUGUAAUAUUGGGCCAGCGAAGUCUCGGCCACUUUAACUACUAGUGAGUAAACAUGCUUUGUUGGGGCUAUCCGGGAUUAAAAAGAGUUGAGACUGAUGAUGAUGGGCAUUAAAAAUCGAGGCUAAUUGGUUAAAUAGGUGGAAUGGCGCUUGAGAAAGAGCAAUCGCUAGUUUGAUGCUUUAUAAUAGUACGGGAGCGUGUAAACAAAUAUGGAGUACUACACAGUUAUAGGACAAUGUCUUUAUCAUUUUCAUCAUUAUCAUAAAUUAUACAUUUUUUCUACAGCCUGUUAUUCCCCAAGCUGUGCUUAACUUAGGGUGGUAUUCCACUUAUCCAAUUCUUUUGUCCAAUAGGUAUUGUGUCGCACAUUUUGCUUUAAUGAGAGAGUGAGAUGCACUGGCAUUGGACAAAGAAAUUGGAAAGGUGGUAUACCAGCCUUGCGCACAUUUUCGAGUACAUAGAUACUUGACGUGAUCCGUACAGAUAAAGAGUAAGGAGAAAUUAGUCAUGAUUUUGGGGUUUUUAAGUACGUAUGUAGGGCUCCAAACUUUGGCUUUCUGUGGUAGAAUCGGGUCGGUGGUAUCCUUGUUGUUAACUAUCGAUAACAGAGAAAAUGUACAUUACAGUAUAGGUCAGGAUACGCCAGAAAAAAAUGCUACAAAUUUACUAUGUAUUCAUUGCCAACCGUCUUAAAGUAGUCCAACAUCAAUUGAGUUCCAUGGACGCUUCGCUGCACUAAAUUCCACAAUUGAGUCACAAGAAUCAAACGUGUCAUCUAUAUUGCAGCGUAAUAACAUCACACAAUCCACUAUAUUCGAGAUAUGAGGCACGCUUUAGAAGCUCCGAGACUAAUUUUCCAUGAAAUAUGUUCUUGAUGAAUGCGAGACGAGUCAAUGUCAUGUCUCCAUUUUACUGUCAGAACCGUGCCAGGGCUAUCAUUGCUCUUGCUUGUUCAAAAUUACCAGUAUACUCGUAAUUGGAUCUUUAGUGUGGCAUAGAAAUGUAAUGGUCUUGGAGCUCACGCGCAAAUUGGUUCACUGGAUGCAAGUGAUUGUUCAAUGGGGGCUAUAAUAUCCCAGAUGUCAUUCGUUACGCUUCUCAUAGCACAAGAUUAGUGGGUACAGGAUAUAGUUUUCGCCCCAUUUGAUGAAGUAUAAGUAGUCUGCUACUUAAACUUAUAUAAACUACUUAUGUCAUUUUUAGUGUACCGCACAAAACUUUGUUCGGGGUACACUUAUUGAGUUAUGUACAUUACGUAUUAUGUCUUAUUUUGGCACGCUCUGCAUCCAAAACGGUUUGAUAAUAUUUAUGUUGAAUUCGUCUCAGUUGUAGGAACAUAAUAUUUACAGAAUGGCACAAAAAUACGUAGUAAUUUUUUUACUACGGUAUAUUGUUAAAAAUUCGUUGGAAGUAUUUAAACAGGAUAUUUGCAUAUUUAUUAUAGUUUCCUAGUAUUGUUGUGAUAGAAGUUCUAUUCUCGUAAGAAACUGAUUGUGAAAAUGUAAGGGAUUUGUAGAAUUAACGUUGAAAGCGUUUGUUAGCGCAUACCAGUGUCAUGUUUACGUGUAUUAGUGGGCUCUUUAUUGGCUAUUUUAGUGAAUUUAGUUAUUGACGAUAAAACAGAAGCCAUAAAAUGCUGUUUAAUAUGUUGCGGCCUUAUGCUACACACAGUUUCAUAACAUUCAUGACAGGAGGGUCAUAUAUCAAUUUUAGAUGUUAAUUCAUCCCAGGGUGACCCAAAAGACGGUGGCAAAGAUUUUUAGAUAAAUUUUUCUUACAAAUCUUUACAAAAUGUAGUUAAAAAUGAAAACUACAAUAAUAUAACUAAAACAAAAUGUAUUAUUAAGCGUGAUAUAUAAGCGCAAGCGCAGUAAAAAAAAUAUCAACGUAUUUUUGGACCACUCUGUUUCAAUUAGCUUUCGGGAGCAGUAAACACAUUUUUUUACAAUACAAUAGAUAUACAAAUCGUCAAAGCCGUAAGUGUUACAAAUCGAAGUGUUAGAGAUCCGUCUACUGAGCCAAAACCUCAGGGCAUUAUCGCAUUUUUAACAAAAACAUAACAUACCGCCAGAGUGUGAAAGUCAUCUUUCAGCACAUGUAAAAUCAAUGUUAACAUGGUUGGCACACCGAUGAUCUAUUUCUGAGUUGUUGUUCACAAACUUUGCCGACCAUUAUAGACGGACCAGUGAAGUCUAACUCUUACAGUGAAGUUGACUGAGUGAAUGUCUCUUAGUACAGGACAUCCCGAGAUCCCGACCCAGCUUUUAAGGAGAUCGUGACGUUUGUAAACCCUACCUACUCAAUGGACAUAUGCUAUUAGUAGGUAGAGUUAGACCAAUAAAAGUCUGCACCGAUUUUGAUACACGCAGUGCCAGUGUUAAUAUAAACGUCGAAUUUCUAUGAAAUUAUGACGUAUAAAUAACACUUGCACUGCGUGGGCUAUCAAAAUCACUGCAGACUUUUCUUGGUCUAACUCUAAUGGCCUUCCAUGCAGUCUCAUUGCGGAAUAUUAGGUCUACGGUGCUCACAACCUUUUGUAAAAGAUGAGAUGUACUCAUGAAUGAAAGUAAACGCUGUAGUUACAGCUACUAUACUUUAUUAGCUAACAACCCUAGAGAAGAAAGGAACCAAAUCAAGAAUCAGUGGUCAGAAACGAGGUUGGCUUCAGCGAUUAUUAGAGUCCUCCUUGUGGCUACGUGACCACGAAGGUUGGCAAUGUUCUGUAUCAACUCUGAAGUAUCAAGAGCCCAUAAUUGGGCCUUUUCAGAAAUAAAUAUUGAAAACCUGAUUCUUUCACAUCUGGACGUUCUUGGGUUCAUUCUACUCAGAAUCGACAGCAUUCUCCAUCCCACCAUUAAAAAAAGAUGUCCCAAAAAUGUCCAAUAGGUUCAUGCAGGUGGGCUGCAGUUGUUUAAGCUCAGGAUCAAACUAUACUGGAACAAUCUGGCAUUCAGGACAAUGUUUUGUGAACUCUGCGCGGAAGCAGCGACCUUGCGCGUGUCGGUGUCGUGAUAAAUAUAUGAAAUUUCGGUGUUAUAAUGGGGGAUGCUGUCACAUCGGCGUGAUAGGAUAAAUUAUACGCAGGUGCUGUGGCCUAUUUUAUAAAGCUACAAGUGACAAUUUACAAGCGGAAGUCUCUUUCUAACCUAACUCUUUCUAACACUAAUGUUUUCAUUAUUACAAAGUUAUCAAUAAUGUAGAGUCAUAUCACCUUUCAUUUUGCACUUUGUAAGUGACACAGAUGACGUAGGUAAUGUCAGCUUGACAGGUGAAGCUGUCACUUUACCAAACUUUAGCAUGAUAGGAUGGAUUAUGUAUUAGUGUUGAUCUGUUGAUGUUUUCACUACGACAAUGUUUGCAAUGUUGCAGUGGCGUAUCACCAAUUAUCUGUGCACUUACAAUUAGUAUUAUGAUGUUAUGCGAACAUCACCUUAGCAUCUAUGAUAGGAUGAAUUAUACGCAGGUGUUAAUGCUUCAUUUGUUACAAUGGUAAUAAUGUGGAUGUGGCUUGACCACUAUUUCUCUUGCGAACUAUCAAUUUCCCCGUAGGUAAGUAAUGUUAUGAGGCUACCAAAUUAGUAUGAUAGGACGAAUUUACAUGAAGCGUUGCAAUACUCGUAUAACCACAUCACGUCAUAUGCAAGGAGUGUUUACGUCUUAAGUAUUUUCGCGUGAAGUAGAUUAUUCUUUUAUAAUUAAGUUUUCAUUAUAAUAUUAUAAAUGUAAACCGACGUCUAGAAUUUAACUACUAGAAUUAUAAAUAGCUUAAGAACUCAUAUCUUUUAGUGGGUGUAACUCGACUCGACAUGUACAAAUGUAUGAUAGCCUGAAAUAUAACGAGGAUACAGAUCUAAGAUCAAAAGCUAAUAUUAUUCGGACAGUUAGUCUGUUUACUUUCAGCUCAUUCAUGAAAUAAUAACAUUUAUUUCAGAUGAAACAAGGGUGCUUUUCGCAUAAAAUACUAGUCGGUUGCUAAUUUUUGAAAGUAGAUAUUCUGAAUGCACUGACUCACGGAAUAUCAUGAUUUAUUCUUAGUCGUUUAUAUUCGGGCGUUGUAUUAAUUUUACUCAAGAUACCGAGCUUACAUUAAAAUUAGAGAUGUAACGUGAUUUAUCGAUACCGAUACCUAUUGUACAAUAAUAUUAGACAAUUAUCAGGGAUACAAUUUUAUUGUGUAAUAGGCAGCUGGGUACGUUUUCACAAGGUUUUAUUUAACUUGUCGUGGUGGUAAUAAUAAUAAGUUUGAGUAGGGUGACUGCUUUAGUCAUUGGCCACUACAUAUUAAUUUGGCCUUUCCUUACAAUCAGAAAGAAACAAGGCAAUUGAAACCUUAUUGUUAAGAGCGGCCAAUUACUAUGUAGUCUCCAAUAACUAUAGCAGUCACCCUAGCUAGACAAAUUCUUAAAAGCUAAAUUAGAACAACUCCUGACAUUCGAUUGGGCUCAAUUUUGGAACACUUAUGGAGGACCGUGACAAGUGAAUGGCAAUGUUAUGAUGGCAACCUAAUUUAAACACAUGCUGCUCUUUUAAAAAAAACUAUCCAUUGUAUGUUUUUUUACGUUUUGUGCACUGUCGUUUACACAUCCUACGAUAAUUUUUGACAUCAUU
Long non-coding RNA from Cydia fagiglandana, 5513 nucleotides. RefSeq lists it as uncharacterized. NCBI's taxonomy places the organism in Eukaryota, Metazoa, Arthropoda, Insecta, Lepidoptera, Tortricidae. The transcript is spliced from 2 exons. The record is from RefSeq and is a predicted model, not a curated record.